Molecule: ribosomal RNA, 493 nt
Filed under: Staphylococcus sp.
Lineage: Bacteria; Bacillati; Bacillota; Bacilli; Caryophanales; Staphylococcaceae
Description: bacterial SSU rRNA
Rfam family: Bacterial small subunit ribosomal RNA
Source: RNAcentral
GAUGAACGCUGGCGGCGUGCCUAAUACAUGCAAGUCGAGCGAACAGAUAAGGAGCUUGCUCCUUUGACGUUAGCGGCGGACGGGUGAGUAACACGUGGAUAACCUACCUAUAAGACUGGGAUAACUUCGGGAAACCGGAGCUAAUACCGGAUAACAUAUUGAACCGCAUGGUUCAAUAGUGAAAGGCGGCUUUGCUGUCACUUAUAGAUGGAUCCGCGCCGUAUUAGCUAGUUGGUAAGGUAACGGCUUACCAAGGCAACGAUACGUAGCCGACCUGAGAGGGUGAUCGGCCACACUGGAACUGAGACACGGUCCAGACUCCUACGGGAGGCAGCAGUAGGGAAUCUUCCGCAAUGGGCGAAAGCCUGACGGAGCAACGCCGCGUGAGUGAUGAAGGUCUUCGGAUCGUAAAACUCUGUUAUCAGGGAAGAACAAAUGUGUAAGUAACUGUGCACAUCUUGACGGUACCUGAUCAGAAAGCCACGGCUAACUA